CGUCUAUAUACGUAUAGCAUAUCAAUAAGCGGAGGAAAAGAAACUAACAAGGAUUCCCUUAGUAACGGCGAGUGAAGCGGGAAGAGCUCAAAUUUGAAAUCUUCAAGGUUCUACCUUGACGAAUUGUAGUUUAAAGAAGUGCUUUUCUGUUAGAGGAGUAGCAAAAGUUCCUUGGAAUAGGGACAUCAUAGAGGGUGAGAAUCCCGUAUUUGACCAUUAUUUUCUAGCUGUGUGAUACACUUUCAAAGAGUCGGAUUGUUUGGGAAUGCAGUCCAAAAUGGGUGGUAAAUUUCAUCUAAAGCUAAAUAUUGGCGAGAGACCGAUAGCGAACAAGUACCGUGAGGGAAAGAUGAAAAGAACUUUGAAAAGAGAGUUAAACAGUACGUGAAAUUGUCAAAAGGGAAGCGUUUGACACCAGCGUUGUUUUUCCGAAAAUCAAUUAAGAGUGGCUUGAUUUUGUGUUGUAUUGACCUUAUCAGCUUUCUUCACUCUUUUUCGAGUCUUUCUUAAUGCACUUUUCGGUUAACAAGUCAACAUCAAUUUCUUUUGUUGUAAAAGGGUAUUUGGAAGGUGGCUUUCUUUUCGGAGAAAGUGUUUAUAGCCUUAUACCUCUACAAUCGGAGAGAUUGAGGUCUGCAGCGUAGAUCCUUCGGGGCUAGAUACACUUGUGCUAAGUUAUAGCUUUUCAUAGACAACUUGUUGACUAUGUUUAGUCAUGUAGCUUACCCGCUUGUGCUAUUUUACCUACGCUUAGGAUGUUGAGUCAUCACACAUCUC
RNAcentral lists this ribosomal RNA (777 nucleotides) under uncultured Neocallimastigales. RNAcentral's name for it is "partial large subunit ribosomal RNA". It matches the Rfam family "Eukaryotic large subunit ribosomal RNA", at positions 26 to 635 of the family's 3401-position model. The record is from RNAcentral. Lineage: Eukaryota; Fungi; Neocallimastigomycota; Neocallimastigomycetes; Neocallimastigales.